Molecule: unclassified non-coding RNA, 306 nt
Filed under: plant metagenome
Description: partial contains 5.8S ribosomal RNA, internal transcribed spacer 2, and large subunit ribosomal RNA
Rfam family: 5.8S ribosomal RNA (bases 1-105)
Source: RNAcentral
GAAAUGCGAUAAGUAGUGUAAAUUACAGAAUUCAGUAAAUCAUCGAAUCUUUGAACGCACAUUGCGCCCCUGGGUAUUCCAUAGGGCAUGCCUGUUCAAGCGUCAUCUACACCCUCAAGCUCUACUUAGUGUUGGGCGUCUAUCCCGCCUUCGCGCGUGGACUCGCCCCAAAUACAUUGGCAGCGGUCCUUGCCCCCUCCCGCGCAGCACAUUGCGCUUCUCGAGGCUACAGCGGCCCGCGUCCAACAAGCUAAACCCCCCCGUCUUUAACCUCGGAUCAGGUAGGGAUACCCACUAAACUUAAGC